GCGGGGGUUCCCGAGUCUGGCCUAAGGGGGCGGACUCAAGAUCCGCUGCCGCAGGGCUUCGUGGGUUCAAAUCCCACCCCCCGCA
This 85-nucleotide transfer RNA is filed under the name archaeon. RNAcentral describes it as "tRNA-Leu". It matches the Rfam family "tRNA". Rfam says of the family: Transfer RNA (tRNA) molecules are approximately 80 nucleotides in length. Their secondary structure includes four short double-helical elements and three loops (D, anti-codon, and T loops). The record is from RNAcentral.